UACGAAGGGGGCUAGCGUUGCUCGGAAUCACUGGGCGUAAAGCGCACGUAGGCGGAUCGUUAAGUCGGAGGUGAAAUCCUGGAGCUCAACUCCAGAACUGCCUUCGAUACUGGCGAUCUUGGAGUCCGGGAGAGGUGAGUGGAACUCCGAGUGUAGAGGUGAAAUUCGUAGAUAUUCGGAAGAACACCAGUGGCGAAGGCGAGUCCCUGGACAACUCCUGACACUGAGGCACGAAAGCUAGGGGAGCAAACAGG
Molecule: ribosomal RNA, 254 nt
Filed under: uncultured bacterium
Lineage: Bacteria
Description: partial 16S ribosomal RNA
Rfam family: Bacterial small subunit ribosomal RNA
Source: RNAcentral